GCCCGCGUAGCUCAAUUUGGCAGAGCAGGGGACUCUUAAUCCCAAGGUUCACGGUUCGAGUCCGUGCGCGGGCACCA
This 77-nucleotide transfer RNA is filed under the name Chloroflexota bacterium. RNAcentral's name for it is "Chloroflexi bacterium tRNA-Lys". It matches the Rfam family "tRNA". Rfam says of the family: Transfer RNA (tRNA) molecules are approximately 80 nucleotides in length. The record is from RNAcentral. RNAcentral also lists the same sequence under 5 other names. Lineage: Bacteria; Bacillati; Chloroflexota.